UAAAAGGCAAUGUACACAAGAAGGGACCUCCUGCGUGCACCAAAAACUAAUCAAAAGAGUUAGGCUGUAUAGCUAGUAGUCCUACUUUUUGUUAUGUUUGAGCCAAAUGUGGAAAGCUUAUGUUGUAUUGUAUAUGUCUGCACAUGGUGCUACAUUCUGUGUAAUAAAUUGCCAACAAUUUAGUGCUUAUGCAAUUGUUUGGCAGGCCACUUCAAACUCUUCUAAUCUCUCUUUGGAUGAGCUUAGCAUGGGUAAAAGUACCACUAUAUUCAACAUUUCUUUUCUCAUCAACUUAACACUAUCUUGAAUAACCCACGAGAGGUUAUAGUAAUUUGAAAUUUUU
RNAcentral lists this long non-coding RNA (343 nucleotides) under Capsicum annuum. RNAcentral's name for it is "long non-coding RNA (CANN_LNC000510)". The record is from RNAcentral. Lineage: Eukaryota; Viridiplantae; Streptophyta; Magnoliopsida; Solanales; Solanaceae.